GAUGAAGAACGUAGCGAAAUGCGAUACUUGGUGUGAAUUGCAGAAUCCCGUGAACCAUCGAGUCUUUGAACGCAAGUUGCGCCCCAAGCCGUUAGGCCGAGGGCACGCCUGCCUGGGUGUCACGCAUCGUUGCCCCCCUCCCCGAAACCCCUCUCCUCGAAAGAGACGAGGGGACUUGGCCGUGGGGGGGCGGAUAUUGGCCUCCCGUGUGCCGGACGGCUCGCGGUUGGCAUAAAUGCCAAGUCCUCGGCGACGCACGCCACGACAAUCGGUGGUUGCGAAACCUCGGUUGCCCGUCGUGUGCGGUCGUCGCGCAUCGAGGGCUCGAAAAAAUUGCCGGGCUCCGGCUCGACUUUCAACGCGACCCCAGGUCAGGCGGGGUUACCCGCUGAAUUUAAGCAUAUCAAUAAGCGGAGGA
Molecule: unclassified non-coding RNA, 418 nt
Filed under: soil metagenome
Description: partial contains 5.8S ribosomal RNA, internal transcribed spacer 2, and large subunit ribosomal RNA
Rfam family: 5.8S ribosomal RNA (bases 1-122)
Source: RNAcentral